This 460-nucleotide ribosomal RNA is filed under the name uncultured bacterium. RNAcentral describes it as "partial 16S ribosomal RNA". It matches the Rfam family "Bacterial small subunit ribosomal RNA", at positions 338 to 795 of the family's 1533-position model. The record is from RNAcentral.
CCUACGGGAGGCAGCAGUGAGGAAUAUUGGUCAAUGGGCGGAAGCCUGAACCAGCCAAGUCGCGUGAGGGAAUAAGGCCCUACGGGUUGUAAACCUCUUUUGUCGGGGAGCAAGGGCGGGGACGUGUCCCGGCCCGGAGAGUACCCGGAGAAAAAGCAUCGGCUAACUCCGUGCCAGCAGCCGCGGUAAUACGGAGGAUGCGAGCGUUAUCCGGAUUUAUUGGGUUUAAAGGGUGCGCAGGCGGAUUUUUAAGUCAGCGGUAAAAUCGUGGGGCUCAACCCCAUCCAGCCGUUGAAACUGGGGAUCUAGAGUGUGCGAGAGGUAUGCGGAAUGCGUGGUGUAGCGGUGAAAUGCAUAGAUAUCACGCAGAACCCCGAUUGCGAAGGCAGCAUACCGGUGCACAACUGACGCUCAGGCACGAAAGCGUGGGUAUCGAACAGGAUUAGAUACCCUUGUAGUC